GGAGAGGUACCCAAGCAGGUUGAAGGGGACGGUUUGCUAAACCGUUAGUAGGAGUUUAUCCUAGCGCGGGUUCGAAUCCCGCCCUCUCCGCCA
RNAcentral lists this transfer RNA (93 nucleotides) under Bacillota bacterium. RNAcentral describes it as "Firmicutes bacterium (anaerobic digester metagenome) tRNA-Ser". It matches the Rfam family "tRNA". Rfam says of the family: Transfer RNA (tRNA) molecules are approximately 80 nucleotides in length. RNAcentral also lists the same sequence under 2 other names. Lineage: Bacteria; Bacillati; Bacillota. The record is from RNAcentral.